AACGAACGCUGGCGGCGUGGAUAAGACAUGCAAGUCGAACGAGAGAAUUGCUAGCUUGCUAAUAAUUCUCUAGUGGCGCACGGGUGAGUAACACGUGAGUAACCUGCCCCCGAGAGCGGGAUAGCCCUGGGAAACUGGGAUUAAUACCGCAUAGUAUCGAAAGAUUAAAGCAGCAAUGCGCUUGGGGAUGGGCUCGCGGCCUAUUAGUUAGUUGGUGAGGUAACGGCUCACCAAGGCGAUGACGGGUAGCCGGUCUGAGAGGAUGUCCGGCCACACUGGAACUGAGACACGGUCCAGACACCUACGGGUGGCAGCAGUCGAGAAUCAUUCACAAUGGGGGAAACCCUGAUGGUGCGACGCCGCGUGGGGGAAUGAAGGUCUUCGGAUUGUAAACCCCUGUCAUGUGGGAGCAAAUUAAAAAGAUAGUACCACAAGAGGAAGAGACGGCUAACUCUGUGCCAGCAGCCGCGGUAAUACAGAGGUCUCAAGCGUUGUUCGGAAUCACUGGGCGUAAAGCGUGCGUAGGCUGUUUCGUAAGUCGUGUGUGAAAGGCGCGGGCUCAACCCGCGGACGGCACAUGAUACUGCGAGACUAGAGUAAUGGAGGGGGAACCGGAAUUCUCGGUGUAGCAGUGAAAUGCGUAGAUAUCGAGAGGAACACUCGUGGCGAAGGCGGGUUCCUGGACAUUAACUGACGCUGAGGCACGAAGGCCAGGGGAGCGAAAGGGAUUAGAUACCCCUGUAGUCCUGGCAGUAAACGGUGCACGCUUGGUGUGCGGGGAAUCGACCCCCUGCGUGCCGGAGCUAACGCGUUAAGCGUGCCGCCUGGGGAGUACGGUCGCAAGAUUAAAACUCAAAGAAAUUGACGGGGACCCGCACAAGCGGUGGAGUAUGUGGCUUAAUUCGAUGCAACGCGAAGAACCUUACCUGGGCUUGACAUGUAAUGAACAACAUGUGAAAGCAUGCGACUCUUCGGAGGCGUUACACAGGUGCUGCAUGGCCGUCGUCAGCUCGUGUCGUGAGAUGUUUGGUUAAGUCCAGCAACGAGCGCAACCCCUGUUGCCAGUUACCAGCACGUGAAGGUGGGGACUCUGGCGAGACUGCCCAGAUCAACUGGGAGGAAGGUGGGGACGACGUCAGGUCAGUAUGGCCCUUAUGCCCAGGGCUGCACACGUACUACAAUGCCCAGUACAGAGGGGGCCGAAGCCGCGAGGCGGAGGAAAUCCUGAAAACUGGGCCCAGUUCGGACUGUAGGCUGCAACCCGCCUACACGAAGCCGGAAUCGCUAGUAAUGGCGCAUCAGCUACGGCGCCGUGAAUACGUUCCCGGGUCUUGUACACACCGCCCGUCACAUCAUGGAAGCCGGUCGCACCCGAAGUAUCUGAAGCCAACCGCAAGGAGGCAGGGUCCUAAGGUGAGACUGGUAACUGGGAUGAAG
Molecule: ribosomal RNA, 1437 nt
Filed under: Akkermansia muciniphila
Lineage: Bacteria; Pseudomonadati; Verrucomicrobiota; Verrucomicrobiia; Verrucomicrobiales; Akkermansiaceae
Description: bacterial SSU rRNA
Rfam family: Bacterial small subunit ribosomal RNA
Source: RNAcentral